RNAcentral lists this ribosomal RNA (305 nucleotides) under uncultured bacterium. RNAcentral describes it as "bacterial SSU rRNA". It matches the Rfam family "Bacterial small subunit ribosomal RNA", at positions 335 to 657 of the family's 1533-position model. The record is from RNAcentral.
AACCUACGGGACGCAGCAGUGGGGAAUAUUGGGCAAUGGGCGCAAGCCUGACCCAGCAACGCCGCGUGAAGGAAGAAGGCUUUCGGGUUGUAAACUUCUUUUCUCAGGGACGAAUAGAUGACGGUACCUGAGGAAUAAGCCACGGCUAGCUACGUGCCAGCAGCCGCGGUAAUACGUAGGUGGCAAGCGUUAUCCGGAAUGAUUGGGCGUAAAGGGUGCGUAGGCGGCCUGCUAAGUCUGGAGUGAAAGGUACCGGCUCAACCGGUACAGGCUCUGGAAACUGGCGGGCUAGAGAGCAGGAGAGG